CUGGGAUUACAGGUGUGAGCCAUCUUGCUCAUUCUAGUUUAAACUUUUGAGUGGUUUGUGUCUCCUGAUUGGACUCCUACAAAUACAGAAUUGAUGCUAGGAAGGGUACCAGGAGAUAGACGCACACAGAUGGGAUUUGGGAAUAGGUUUGGUUAUCCAAGGAGCAGUGCUGAGCUCCUUGCAAUGGGAUAUGGGAUGCUGGUGAUUUCUAGGAAGUGAGCUCACAAUGACUCAAGCUGCCACAUACUGUUGAUUGUGAAAUGCCAGUUGAAGCAUAUGUCCUGCAAGCUUAGGGGUGCUACAAGUUGACCACUGCAGCAGUAAAGAUGACUCUGAAGAAUGGCGUGGGAUGGUUCCUUUCAAAUGCACUUGAGCAGCGGUCUCCAACCACAGGGCCACAGAGCUGGAGCUGGAUCUACCAUGAAAGACUUGUGAAUCCAGGAAGAGAGACUGACUGGGCAACAUGUUAUUCAGGUGGGAACAUCCAGUUGCGGGAAAACAAGCUUAACACGCCCACUGAUUCUACAUUAUGGGUCUCCCUCUGUUGUCCAAGGCUGGAGUGUAGUAGUGCUAUCGCAGCUGACUGCAGCCUCAACCUUCCAGGCUGAAGCGAUCCUCCCAC
This 622-nucleotide long non-coding RNA is filed under the name Homo sapiens (human). RNAcentral's name for it is "novel transcript". The record is from RNAcentral. Lineage: Eukaryota; Metazoa; Chordata; Mammalia; Primates; Hominidae.